This is a long non-coding RNA of Oncorhynchus masou masou (cherry salmon), 4048 nucleotides long. RefSeq lists it as uncharacterized. Lineage: Eukaryota; Metazoa; Chordata; Actinopteri; Salmoniformes; Salmonidae. The transcript is spliced from 3 exons. The record is from RefSeq and is a predicted model, not a curated record.
CUGAUGGGAGAUUCUGGAGUGACGCCUGAGACAGCUUUUUCCAACACCCUUUCUUGUAGAGUUCCAGACACUUGUAGAAAUGAUCACAAGGGAUUCACUGAACUCAUUCUCAUCGACCUCAUCAAGAUAUUUGAUGAUAACAAGCUAGAGGACCUGAGCCCUAGGACCAUGCCCCAGGACUACCUGACAUGAUGACUCCUUGCUGUCCCCAGUCCACCUGGCCGUGCUGCUGCUCCAGUUUCAACUGUUCUGCCUUAUUAUUAUUCGACCAUGCUGGUCAUUUAUGAACAUUUGAACAUCUUGGCCAUGUUCUGUUAUAAUCUCCACCCGGCACAGCCAGAAGAGGACUGGCCACCCCACAUAGCCUGGUUCCUCUCAUGGCCUAAUAGUUUAUAAGCAUUUUACGCUGAACUUUCUGAUCUGUUCUGUCAGCCACAUUCUGUCCGCCACAUUUUUUUGAUGCUAGUGGCUGUAAUAAUUUGUGAUCUAUUGCACCCCACAUCUGUCCCAGACUAUGAUUGGAAUAUUUAUUUCUCGCAUAGAAUAGGUCAGCUUUUGUACUAUGGGGGAUAGUAGAUUGACAUAAGCUAGUGCUUUUGCUGUUCUUUAGUCCAUUGUGUUGGCUGACAAAGUAAAUGUGGACAGUUUUUCCAAUCUUCAAUAUGCACCUCGGAUUUGAAAGGACGAGCUAUCAUGUUUCAGGUUAGACCCAGAUGCAGACAAUGUCGAAGUAUCAAUAGUUUAUUAAUCAAACAGGGGCAGGCAAAAAUCAGGUCAAGGGCAGGCACAGAUCGGUGAUCCAGAUAGGUGGGGCAAAGGUACAGGACGGCAGGCAGGCUCAGGGUCAGGGCAGGCAGAAUGGUCAACACCAAGAAAACUAGGAAACAGGAACAAUCAAGAGAGAGGAGCAGAGGGGAAAAUGCUGGUAGGCUUGACGAAACAAAACAAACUGGCAACAGACAAACAGAGAACACAAGUAUAAAUACACAAGGGAUAAUGGGGAAGAUGGGCGACAACUGGAAGGGUGUGGAGACCAUCACAAAGACAGAUGAAACAGAUCAGGGAGUGACGCGCGCUGUUGCAUCUCCGAUGUGUCUUUCUUCACUUGUAGCCUGUGAUGGAGAGCCAUGUAAGUGAGAGGCGCUUUGGAUUGAGUAGCACUCAGCGAGAAGUGCACAAGCCAGCACUCUGGGCCUCAAAAUGCAUGCAUUUCUUUAGUGUGCAUUACGACCACAAAGGGGAUGCCGCCGUUAAAUUCAAUGCAUUAUCAACUGCUUGUCAAAUUGUGAAUGAGAGACUAUUGGAGUGUGUACAGCCUGCUCAAAAAACUAAGCAGUGCUCAUGGCUUUCAAAUGUCUUUCUUCAAAUCAUUUUUAGAGUCUCAUCAUGCAGCCUUACACGGAAUCCAAACCGGCUGCGUGCGUGCGCUAUCGUGCAUAAAAUUAUUUUGUCCCUCCACAACAAACGCGAUCAUGACAUGCAGGUUAUAAUAUCAAAAAAACUAAUUACAUUAAUUUGGGGACAGGUCGAGAAGCAUUAAACAUUUCUGGAAAUUUAGUUAGCUAGCUUGCACUUGCAUGCUAAUUUGUUCUAUUCAGCUAGCUUGCUGUUGCUAGCUAAUUUGUCCUGUGAUUUAAACGUUGAGUUGUUAUUUUACCUGAAAUGCACAAAGUCCUUUACUCUGACAAUUAAUCCACACAUAAAAUGGUCAACCGAAUUGUUUCUAGUCAUCUGUCCUCCUUCCAGGCUUUUUCUUCUUUGAACUUAUAUGGCGAUUGGCAUCUAAACUUUCAUAGUAUUACCACAAAGACCGACAGCUUAGUUUGUCUUUCAAUCACCCACGUGGGUAUAAACAAUGAGGAGAUGGAACGUGUGUAUCUGCUUCUAUAAACCAAUAAGGAGAUGGGAGAGGCAGGACUUGCAGCGCGAUCGAUCUGCAUCACAAAUAGAUUUUAGCUCUUGACAACGCAGAUGCUUGUUAGCACGUGCGAGCAGUGUGGAUACUAUACUUUAAUAAUAUACAUUUAUAAUUUAUUUUGCAACGCUUUCGCACACAACACGAGCGGUGUAGUCAGGGUAUUACAAUGUAUUAAAAAAAAAGUAUAGCCCAACGAUUGUAGAAGAACUAAAGUUACAUUAAUAACUCUAAAUUAAGCAUAUAGAAGUACCUAUUUCUUUGUUAACCGCUCAACACAGAAUAGCCACAUGUGUGCACUCCAUGACAUCUUUUGGAGAAAAUAUUUAUUUAAUUUAACUUUGUUCAAUGGUAUUCUUCAUACUAUAAAAUAUAAAAUAAUGCCACGCAAAUAUUGUAUUCUUAAUGAACUAAUGUAGCCCACAGCCAUUUGACAUAACCACAUCAGGACCUAACAUAAGGACAACUCAUAGUAUGCUAUUCUUUUCUUCUGAAAUGGACUAUUUUCUUCAUAUCAUGCUUCUUUAGAGGUGUCUAGAAUAGAUAAUUAAUUUAUUGUGAAGGUGUAGGCUAUAUUACAUGGAUUUAUUAUACUUUUUUUAAUAUAGAUGAUCCAAAGUUAUGCAUCAGUGGCUUGGUGGCUAUGUGUGGUAAUCAGAAGAUGCUAAAUGUGUUUGUUAAUUAACGUAAUUUCGUGACCGUCACAACCCUAAUUAUACCACCCAUAAAAUCAUUUAAAGCUGCACUGUCUGUUGUGGAUCAUCAUUCUCCCAAGUCGUCCUAUAAUAACGUAGCCACAUAUGCUCCCAGCAGGCCAAAUCAUUCCGGAAAGCCUUAACGAAAUAUUUGGAAUUUCACUUUUAAAACGUAAUACCAUUUAUGUGUGGCAUAAAAACAACCAAUCUGAUUAGGCUACUUCAAAAGUCUACUGUAGGCUACCCUGUUUGCUUUCAUCCCAAAUAUAAUUCCAGCAUCCAAACUGCAGCGGCCCCGGGUCAGUAAUGGGAUUCUUCUGUUGAAGGAGAGGAGGACCAAAAUGCAGCGUGGUUGAAAUUCUUGUUUGUUUUUUAAUAAGAAAACUAUACAUGAAUAAACUACAAAAACAACAAACGUGUAAACCCGAAACAGCCCCGUGUGGCACAAACACUGACACAGGAGACAAUCACCCACAAAACCCAACACCAAACAGGCUACCUAAAUAUGGUUCCCAAUCAGAGACAAUGACUAACACCUGCCUCUGAUUGAGAACCAUAUCAGGCCAAACACAGAAACAGACAAACUAGACACAACAUAGAAUGUCCACUCAGAUCACACCCUGACCAAACAAAACAUAUAAACAUACAAAGCAAACUAUGGUCAGGGUGUGACAGGGUCGGCCCUGGCCCGAGGCAUGAUUUGGUUUUGUUCCCCGCCCCACCUCACGGGCAAAACAUUUUGGUGCCCCCCCAUAUAUACAGAAAAACCUGUUGUUGUAAAGUUAGCAUCAAAAUGUUGAAAAUCUGAUUUCCACUUAGCUGAUGAUUGUCUGCAGCCGGUUCUAAGCAGCCGUCUCUCUCGUAGUGUAAUGAAACCUUCUGGCCCUGCGUGGCAACGACUGUGCCACAAAAGCAUGAAGAAGUGUCUAUGUCCAUUUUUUUAUAAACACCAGGUCGCUAGAGUUAUUGUUAUUUGUGGGUAAUUCAAAUUAUUUUGAGAUAACAUCCUGCAGGAAAAAUAUUGAACAACUCAGACCACCAGUCGUUGUUCUUGAUCAUUAAUGAGAUAAAUCAUAAAGGAAAAUAAUGUUCUGUAAAUUACAUGAUUCCACAAACUACAUGCAACAUAAUUUAUUGUUCAGUUGGAAGUAAAUGAUUUUUGGGCAAUAACCUGUGCAGCGUUUGAAGAUCAAAGUUUGCUUGGCUUAAAACAGAAAUGUUUGCUCUGAUGAAAGAGUAGGCCAGAGUAGCACUGGCCCUGGUUAUCAGCCCUGUCGCUCUCUGUCUGGGGCCAGAAGCACUUUCACCACACACAGACUCACACACUGCACGCGGGUACGCAGGCACAGACACAUGCAGAGGCGUGCAUGUGCUCACACAUACAUUAGAAUACACAUGGGGUCAGAUGAGCUGAUUCAGAAAAAGAGACUGGAUUAAA